AUACGAAGGGUGCAAGCGUUAAUCGGAAUUACUGGGCGUAAAGCGCGCGUAGGUGGUUUUGUAAGUUGGAGGUGAAAGCCCCGGGCUUAACCUGGGAAUUUCCUCCAAAACUGCAUGACUAGCGUACGGUAGAGGGUAGUUGAAUUUCUUGUGUAGCGGUGAAAUGCGUAGAUAUAGGAAGUAACACAGUUGGCUAAGGCGACUCCCGGAAUUGAUAUUGAUUCUGAGGUGCCAAAACGUGAGGAAAAAACGGGAUUAGAUACCAUGGUAGUCCACGCGGUAAAGGAUGUCAAUUAGCCGUUGGGAUCCUUGAGAUCUUAGUGGCGCAGCUAACGCAUUAAGUUGACCGCCUGGGGAGUACGGCCGCAAGGUUAAAACUCAAAUGAAUUGGCGGGG
Molecule: ribosomal RNA, 396 nt
Filed under: uncultured bacterium
Lineage: Bacteria
Description: partial 16S ribosomal RNA
Rfam family: Bacterial small subunit ribosomal RNA
Source: RNAcentral